UUUACCUACGGGACGCAGCAGUGGGGAAUAUUGCACAAUGGGCGAAAGCCUGAUGCAGCAACGCCGCGUGAGCGAUGAAGGCCUUCGGGUCGUAAAGCUCUGUCCUCAAGGAAGAUAAUGACGGUACUUGAGGAGGAAGCCCCGGCUAACUACGUGCCAGCAGCCGCGGUAAUACGUAGGGGGCUAGCGUUAUCCGGAAUUACUGGGCGUAAAGGGGCGGAGGGGGGUUUUU
Molecule: ribosomal RNA, 232 nt
Filed under: uncultured bacterium
Lineage: Bacteria
Description: partial 16S ribosomal RNA
Rfam family: Bacterial small subunit ribosomal RNA
Source: RNAcentral